Molecule: ribosomal RNA, 253 nt
Filed under: uncultured bacterium
Lineage: Bacteria
Description: partial 16S ribosomal RNA
Rfam family: Bacterial small subunit ribosomal RNA
Source: RNAcentral
GACGAACCGUGCGAACGUUAUUCGGAAUCACUGGGCUUAAAGGGCGCGUAGGCGGGCGGCCAAGUCAGAGGUGAAAGCCUCCAGCUCAACUGGAGAAGUGCCUUUGAUACUGGUCAUCUCGAGGGAGAUAGGGGCGUGCGGAACUUCCGGUGGAGCGGUGAAAUGCGUAGAUAUCGGAAGGAACACCGGUGGCGAAAGCGGCGCGCUGGAUCUCUUCUGACGCUGAGGCGCGAAAGCCAGGGGAGCGAACGGG